Molecule: ribosomal RNA, 897 nt
Filed under: Halomonas aidingensis
Lineage: Bacteria; Pseudomonadati; Pseudomonadota; Gammaproteobacteria; Oceanospirillales; Halomonadaceae
Description: bacterial SSU rRNA
Rfam family: Bacterial small subunit ribosomal RNA
Source: RNAcentral
AUCCUAGCUUGCUAGGAGGCGUCGAGCGGCGGACGGGUGAGUAACGCAUAGGAAUCUGCCCGGUAGUGGGGGAUAACCUGGGGAAACCCAGGCUAAUACCGCAACGCCCUACGGGGGAAAGCAGGGGCUCUUCGGACCUUGCGCUAUCGGAUGAGCCUAUGUCGGAUUAGCUGGUUGGUGAGGUAAUGGCUCACCAAGGCGACGAUCCGUAGCUGGUCUGAGAGGAUGAUCAGCCACAUCGGGACUGAGACACGGCCCGAACUCCUACGGGAGGCAGCAGUGGGGAAUAUUGGACAAUGGGCGCAAGCCUGAUCCAGCCAUGCCGCGUGUGUGAAGAAGGCCCUCGGGUUGUAAAGCACUUUCAGUGGGGAAGAAAUCCUCGGGGCUAAUACCCUCGAGGGAGGACAUCACCCACAGAAGAAGCACCGGCUAACUCCGUGCCAGCAGCCGCGGUAAUACGGAGGGUGCGAGCGUUAAUCGGAAUUACUGGGCGUAAAGCGCGCGUAGGCGGCCUGAUAAGCCGGUUGUGAAAGCCCCGGGCUCAACCUGGGAACGGCAUCCGGAACUGUCAGGCUAGAGUGCAGGAGAGGAAGGUAGAAUUCCCGGUGUAGCGGUGAAAUGCGUAGAGAUCGGGAGGAAUACCAGUGGCGAAGGCGGCCUUCUGGACUGACACUGACGCUGAGGUGCGAAAGCGUGGGUAGCAAACAGGAUUAGAUACCCUGGUAGUCCACGCCGUAAACGAUGUCGACUAGCCGUUGGGGUCCUUGAGACCUUUGUGGCGCAGUUAACGCGAUAAGUCGACCGCCUGGGGAGUACGGCCGCAAGGUUAAAACUCAAAUGAAUUGACGGGGGCCCGCACAAGCGGUGGAGCAUGUGGUUUAAUUCGAUGCAACGCGA